CGGGCACCAUUCAGAUUUGGUUAUAUCUGGCGAAGGCAUCCAUGAAGCUGAGCAGUCGAUGACCGGACGUCGCAUCCACCAGUUGGUCAAUCUUCGACAGUGAGAAGCUGUCCUUCGAGUAGGACCGAUUCAAAUCGGUGGAGUCGAUAUAGAUCUUACACUUCUCGUUGGCUUUCUUCAUCAUGAUAACAUUUGCGAGCCUGUUGGGAUAGAUGG
RNAcentral lists this long non-coding RNA (216 nucleotides) under Elaeis guineensis (African oil palm). Its description in RNAcentral is "long non-coding RNA (EGUI_LNC025050)". The record is from RNAcentral. Lineage: Eukaryota; Viridiplantae; Streptophyta; Magnoliopsida; Arecales; Arecaceae.